AAAUCUCAGCCCUUCCUUCCUUAUCAUACCACACUUCGCUCUAUAUUAUCUUUCUACUUCCUUCCCCUAUUUUUCUUCCUCUAUCACCUUUCCUCUAUGUUAUAUUGCACUCUUCGUUAUCCUCAUUUCUAUGAAACAAUCACUUUUUUUUCAGUUUGUACUCUACACUCUUCAAUAG
Non-coding RNA from Vicia faba (fava bean), 178 nucleotides. NCBI's taxonomy places the organism in Eukaryota, Viridiplantae, Streptophyta, Magnoliopsida, Fabales, Fabaceae. The record is from the annotation of a GenBank genome assembly.